CAACUCGCUCUGUAACAACAUCGAGCAUCUGUCUCGUUGACACUUCAAUCAUUUCUGACAUUUCAGCAUUUUUUAUGGCUCGUUUUCGUUAUUGCAUUUCAUGAAAAUACAAAUGUAAUAAUUCCCGGACAAGUGUCAAUUACACAUUUUAUUUAAAAAAUGUUAAAUUUGUGAGAUAAAUGCAACGCAGUGUAAGUAAAAAGCAAGCGACGUUUCUGCAUGCAAGCCACAUGUUGGACACUUGUGUAGGCAAGUUAACGUGCUAAUCUAAGAAUUCUAAUAAGAAAGUGUGUGUGGAAAUGCGGCGGAUGCCAUGUGAGAAAAUUGUGAAAUUCAUACAAGUGUGUGUGAUUAUAUGAAAUGCAAAACCUGUCAAUUAUAGUGUGCAAUAUCGCUUUUAAUUACAGUAGAAUGUCACAAGUCAAAUUACUUACAUUUGUAGUAACACAGAUACUACGAUAAAUUUACCUACACAUAACAGUUACUUUAUUUAAGUUAAUCAGCUGUUAGUGACUAAAUAAAACAUUAAAAAGAUUGGAAAUUAAUUAACAUACUAGAUACGGCACGAUUUCUUUGGGGCCACGAUAUGAUAGUAUGGACGUAUGAGGAGGUCCUCAGGAUUAAAAAAUUCAUACAUAUAUACUCGCCUCAGACUUAUAGUUUUGUUGUAUUUAAAACUCAAAAGUUGUAAAAGUAAUGGAGCUAUUUUACUAUGUUUAACACAUUGGGUUUUUUUAUGCAUUAAAAAACGCAUAAUAAUCCUAUAUCUUGGAUAUAUUUCAAUGGGUUGAAUUUAUGCAUUAAAAAACGCAUAAUAAUCCCAUAUCUUGGAUAUAUUUCAAUGGGUUGAAUUCAAAAAUCAUUUUAAAUGCGUGAAAGUGCGCAUCUCAGCAAAUAAACACCACUUCAGUACAUUAACUCCUAUCGCCCGCAUGUAUUAUUUAGAUUUUAAGCAUUAUACGCUCAAUUUGGAAAUUUAGUAGUCGGAGCAUUGACAUUAACUAGGCAACUAACUGAGAACACGUCAAACAACAGGUUAAAAAGACUAAACCUACUAAUAGUUAUCACUUAUAUUUUUGUAUAUUAGAGUGUAUUGCGUUAUCAACGUGGCACAGAUAGUCGGGCAAGAUAAUUUCAAACACGUCAAGGAAGCUUGCUCACCCAAUAAACAUUAGUAACAAUUAACCAUUGGAAUUGUACACAUUGGAGCGCCAGAACGCAGACGAGCAGCGAUGACACCGAAAAUUGACAAGGAGCUGCUGCCGAUGAAGGCGCAUUAUUUCUUCUUCAAUGCAGGAACAGCGCCGGUAAUGCCAUUUAUGCCCACAUUGGCGCGUCAAUUAGGCUUCUCCACAGUGGUCAUUGGUACUAUGUAUACGAUUUUGCCUAUUGUUGGCAUGCUGGCCAAGCCGCUUUUUGGAUUCGUCGCAGAUCGCUACCAACGCCAUCGCACACUUUUCCUCAUCGGCGAAGUCCUUACCGCUAUAGCAUUUUUCCUCAUACAGUUCACACCAACCAUUCCAGAAGCACUGCCCACAAUGGAAUUCAACUGUCACGGCGGCGCAUCUACACUCAAAUACUAUUCCGAAUUUGAUAAGUGCAUAGAAAACAAUCUAGAAAACUAUUACGGCGAUCGUGUUUUAACCUGCCAGCUACGUUGUCAAGCAGUUCCGGAGAAAUUAGAUUUCGUUUGUAAUAACUGGUUACAUAACAACAGUUCAACUAAUAGCAACAACAAAAACGUUACAUGUCCUGAUCGCAACAAUCCCCAACUGAAUUUCACCACUUUCCUAGACAUGAGUAAAAUGGAGAUGCCAGGUGAUCAUUUAUUCUUUGUCAUACCACACGAUAGAGGUCAAAUGAAUGGUGAAAAUAUAACACUAAAUUGUCCAUAUGAUAAACCGUUAUUCAAUACAAGCUGUCAAGUAGAGUGCAAUGAUAAAUAUUUCCAUAGUCAAUUGACACAAAACACAGCGAUCAAUAAUGCUGAUGUGUGGGGCAUGCAUCAAUUUUGGUAUUUCUUCAUUAUGCUCAUCGUAAGUUGGAUCGGCAUGGCGGUGGUGGUAAGCAUUGGUGAUGCGAUUUGCUUUUCAAUAUUGGGCGAUCGUCAUCAUUUGUAUGGCAAUCAACGUUUAUGCGGUUCCAUUGGUUUUGGUGUGUUCUCCAUUAUUGCCGGUGUGCUGGUGGAUCAAAUGUCGCACGGUAGCGUAAAUAAAGACUAUACAAUCGUGUUUUGGAUGACAUUGGUUAUAAUAGGUUUCGAUAUGAUCGCGUCUACGAAGUUAAAGCACACACAAACACACCUCUCCCCCAACAUACUCAAGGAUGUCGGCAAAAUGUUUCUCUCUAUUCGUUGUGUGAUCUUCUUCAUCUGGUGUAUCUCGAUUGGCUUGUGCACAGCGCUCGUUUGGAACUUUCUAUUCAUGUAUUUGGAUGAGUUGGGUGAAAAACUGGAGGGUUGUCAAAAUUCCAUGAAAACACUCGAGGGCAUAGCCAUGGGCAUACAAUGUUUUGGUGGCGAAUUACCCUUCUUUUUUCUCUCCGGUUGGAUUUUGCGUAAGAUCGGUCAUAUAAAUGCUAUGAGUUUAGUACUCUUUGCUUUCGGUGUUCGUUUCAUACUCUAUUCGGUGUUGGUGAAUCCAUGGUGGGUAUUACCCAUUGAAAUGUUAAACGGUGUCACAUUCGGUAUUUUCUACUCCACCAUGGCUUCGUAUGCGAGUAUUGUUGCGCCGCGCGGCACUGAAGCGACUAUACAGGGCUUAGUCGGCGCCAUUUUCGAGGGUGUGGGCGUAUCUAUGGGCAGCUUUAUCGCAGGCUAUCUCUUUGAAUCUGUCAACGGCAGUGGAACUUUCCUGAUUUUUGGAAUUUUCGCCUUUAUUGCAUUUAUUGUGCAUGUGUUGGUGCAGUGUUAUUUGCAGCGAAAUGCACAAGGGGCUGCCGAUGCUAAUGGUAAGGAAACGGUUGUAGUAGACAAUGUUACACAAGAAGUGAAACAGUUACCUGAAGAAAAUGAUAAAAUUUGGACUGUAGAUGUAACGAACCCAAAGGCUGUUGGCACUAAAAUCACAGAGGUUGAUUUAAGCUGAAUUUAGGAAGAGUUUUAAAUGCGGGUAUUGAGGGAAUUUGGUACUUAAAAAGAAAUUGUAGUGUAAAGAAAGUGUAAAUAAUAAUUAAAUAGUGGUGAACUUCCUAUUUACGCGUUUUUGUUCACCUUAACCGUUUUUGAACCCUUCUGUACACUAAAGUGAGUUAUAGCUACAUAAAGUGUAGCCUUACGUGAAUUUGAGUAUUUGUUAUAAUUCGAAAACAAGGUCAACUGUUUAGCACUAACAAAGUGAAAAACCAGUUGUGUUAAAUAAUUAGUUUUCAAAUAACUGUCAUAAUAGUUGCACUCCAUUAAAAAAAUCAUCGAAUUUCAAAAUGCGUUAUUUAAAAAUUAGUAAUCAGACUUUUUUUUUCAAAGUUUUUGGUAAUUUUAUACAAAAAAUUUGAAUUUUUAAUAAAUAUAGUUUUAUGCAAAAUAUUUUAUCUGAAUUAAAACUGUAAGCUUUACUAAAAGUAGAAAACGCAUAAAAAAUUAUCGUGCCCCAUCGCAAUUUCGAAACGCUUUGUUGAAUUUGUGGACCACACAAGUAAUUCAAAAAACAAAAAAAAAUAUGUUCCUUACUACUUUGUAGUUUGUAGUUAAUUCUUUGAAAGUAUGUGUACUCAUGGAAGUAGAUUGUUUUAAGAUAUGUGAUUUCGAAAGUAAUUUGUAGCAUAGUCGAAACUAUUUUUGUCUGAGGCAUGUUAGCUUUUGUUUUGCGAGUUUUUUGAUUAAAUAUUGUGUAACGUUAUGUGUGUUGUUGAAUAUUGUACCAUAUAAUAGACCAUAUAUAGAACAUAUUUUUGUUUGCGAAAAUCGAAAAAAGUGCGUGUAUGAUCGAUAAACUAUCAACACAGCUGUUUUACAAAACCGUAUCGAUGAUUUAUGCCUUACUACAACAAAAUAAUAUAAUUUUGUCGAUACAAUAACACCGAGUCUCGAUUUAGAGGCUUAUCAAUAAUAUUAAAUGACAUUUUCAACAUUUCCAUUGUUUUUAACGAUAUUAUGACAGAAUUAUGAUUAGAAAAAGAAAAGUUUAGAAUUUAUGGCUUAUUUUUCAAAUAUUAAAAUAAUAGUUGCGACAUUUCCGGUGUUUUUAACGAUAUUAUGACAACAGAAAUAAUAUAACUUUGUCGAUACAAUAACACCAAGUUUCGAUUUAGAGGCCUACUAAUCAAUAUUUGAUAAUUAUAUUCUCAACAUUGGCGAUCUUUUUUUACGAAUAUCUGUUUAGAAAAAUUAGAAUAAAUUUAAAUAUUUUAAUUGCAUUUUCAAAGAACAAUAUUAGAGGAAAAAUGUUAGAUCUUACUCUCUAGUGACAUUUUAAUAUUUCCUCUAUCACUUUAACCCAAUUUCGGAAUUGAUAAUUGCCUACUUUACUGGUACUUACACGCUCUUAUCUCCGUUACAUUGUUAUGCCUUUUUUUCCAUGUGUGCGCUACAAAUUCAAUUUUAGUUAAUCGGUUGCUAUUGUCAGAACUUAAAUUUAUAUAUUUGUGUGAUAUUAUUAUCUAAAUGUCUUUGUAAUGCUAUUACACUUUGUUGUGUAAAUAUUACAAUUAUUUGUCAACGCCUAUCAACUUGUACAUACAUACUUUCGUAUAUACUGGAAAAUAACGCGACGCAUAUCUGUGGUAAAUGUGUUGCAUGCAAAUGAGUUGUAAUGAAAUGUAACAACUACUGACGAUGUAUGUAAAUAUACCUUCUUUCGCGCGCUGUUAAAUAUUUGACGCCCAACGAUGCAAUGCAUAUGCUCAACGAUCAAGAAUACAUUAUUGUUGCAUAAAUAAGUGAUUCGAUUACAUUAGAGAUGAUAAGCAAACAACUGUUGCAACAGUUUUAGACGCACCUCCUGUGCAAAAGAACGGUUAUGCAGUCUAAGGGUAUUUUAUAUGGCCGCGGAAUGUGUUGUAACUGCCUGCUCUUGCUUAUAAGUUUUAUUUUUACCCUGAGCUGUGAACAUUUUCAACUUGUUGCGUACUUAUUAAGAGUGGCAAUGACACGCUGCUAAAGUGAAAGCUGUGUACUAACUCAGUUAAUACAACAUAGUAUUUAUAUUUUAUAAAAUAGUAUGUAGAAUGCUUGGUGCUUUUUUACUAUUAUUCUAUUUUUUUUUUUUUUAGCAAAGUAUUUCUGUGUUUUAAAGAUCAAUUGUAGAGGCAUUACUUUUUUCUAUACUUAGUGUUUACAAAUUUUGUUAUCAUAAAAACUUAUAAAAUAUUGGUUAUAUUGUAUUAUCUAAGCAAUUAAUUCUAUGUAUAUCACAAAUGCUGUAAAUGCACAAAGCUUUAGAUUAGUUUUAACUAGUAUUUUUCAUGAGUGUUUUAUUGAAUGUACUGUCAGUUGAAAUAGUUUUUGCUAUUUACAAAAAAAACUUUGUUUUCAAUAUAUGCAUCUGGCUUGAAGCCGCUAAAUACAUAUAUAUGUUUGUAAUAUUUAAUACUUUCUACCAUUAAGUCUCUAAACAUAAUUAUUAAUUUCAAUUGCUAAAUAAUUUUGUUCGAUACUCUUACUACAACCAUUUGUUGCUGCAACACCAAAGCAUUUGAGUAUUGUGCACAAAUUUUUUCACUGGUCACAAAAACUUAAAAAAAGAGAAAAUAAAAUUAUUUUAUUUUUUUCAAUUUUUUUUAGCAUAGUAUAUAAACAUGCAUUCUUUAUACUUUAAGCAUAAAUUGUAUACGAUAAGGCAUGGCGCUAAAGAGCAUUAUU
This is a non-coding RNA of Bactrocera oleae (olive fruit fly), 5797 nucleotides long. NCBI's taxonomy places the organism in Eukaryota, Metazoa, Arthropoda, Insecta, Diptera, Tephritidae. The record is from RefSeq and is a predicted model, not a curated record.